Molecule: ribosomal RNA, 473 nt
Filed under: uncultured bacterium
Lineage: Bacteria
Description: bacterial SSU rRNA
Rfam family: Bacterial small subunit ribosomal RNA
Source: RNAcentral
GACGACGACUCCUACGGGAGGCAGCAGUGGGGAAUAUUGCACAAUGGGCGCAAGCCUGAUGCAGCCAUGCCGCGUGUAUGAAGAAGGCCUUCGGGUUGUAAAGUACUUUCAGCAGUGAGGAAGGUGGUGCAGUUAAUAGCUGUAUCAUUUGACGUUAGCUGCAGAAGAAGCACCGGCUAACUCCGUGCCAGCAGCCGCGGUAAUACGGAGGGUGCGAGCGUUAAUCGGAAUUACUGGGCGUAAAGCGCAUGCAGGUGGUUUGUUAAGUCAGAUGUGAAAGCCCCGGGGCUCAACCUCGGAAUUGCAUUUGAAACUGGCAGACUAGAGUACUGUAGAGGGGGUAGAAUUUCAGGUGUAGCGGUGAAAUGCGUAGAGAUCUGAAGGAAUACCGGUGGCGAAGGCGGCCCCCUGGACAGAUACUGACACUCAGAUGCGAAAGCGUGGGGAGCAAACAGGAUUAGAUACCCUGGGAG